GAUGAACGCUGGCGGCGUGCCUAAUACAUGCAAGUCGAGCGAACAGACGAGGAGCUUGCUCCUCUGACGUUAGCGGCGGACGGGUGAGUAACACGUGGAUAACCUACCUAUAAGACUGGGAUAACUUCGGGAAACCGGAGCUAAUACCGGAUAAUAUAUUGAACCGCAUGGUUCAAUAGUGAAAGACGGUUUUGCUGUCACUUAUAGAUGGAUCCGCGCCGCAUUAGCUAGUUGGUAAGGUAACGGCUUACCAAGGCAACGAUGCGUAGCCGACCUGAGAGGGUGAUCGGCCACACUGGAACUGAGACACGGUCCAGACUCCUACGGGAGGCAGCAGUAGGGAAUCUUCCGCAAUGGGCGAAAGCUUGACGGAGCAACGCCGCGUGAGAGAUGAAGGUCUUCGGAUCGUAAAACUCUGUUAUUAGGGAAGAACAAAUGUGUAAGUAACUAUGCACGUCUUGACGGUACCUAAUCAGAAAGCCACGGCUAACUACGUG
RNAcentral lists this ribosomal RNA (497 nucleotides) under uncultured bacterium. RNAcentral's name for it is "partial 16S ribosomal RNA". It matches the Rfam family "Bacterial small subunit ribosomal RNA", at positions 28 to 507 of the family's 1533-position model. The record is from RNAcentral.